AAGGGAGACCUAAUUCGGGUAUAAGACGAAAAAAGAGUAGCCGAAACCAAGAAUCAAUCCCAAAAGGUCGGAACGAGGUAUGUGGCUUUCAAACUAGGUUCUGGGUUCACACAAGACCUGAAUCAGGAACAAGGGCUAUUAGCUCAGGUGGUUAGAGCGCACCCCUGAUAAGGGUGAGGUCCCUGGUUCGAGUCCAGGAUGGCCCACCUGCACAGGUGGCAAAAACAAAGAAGCGAGGAAUCAGCACCUUAUCUUAUCUAUAUAUAAGAGAGAAUGCUGGCUCUGAGUAAAGAGUCCAGAGGAACCUUGAAAACUGCAUAGAGCUAGGUGAAAAAGCCAAAAAAGAAGACCGCAA
This 355-nucleotide transfer RNA is filed under the name uncultured Microcystis sp. Its description in RNAcentral is "partial 16S-23S ribosomal RNA intergenic spacer". The stretch from base 133 to 206 matches the Rfam family "tRNA". The record is from RNAcentral. Lineage: Bacteria; Bacillati; Cyanobacteriota; Cyanophyceae; Chroococcales; Microcystaceae.